AUAGAAGAAACGUUUAAAAAUUCAUAGCGACGUCCUGUCGCAAAGCUACAUGACUCACAUCCUGUGAG
This 68-nucleotide small RNA is filed under the name Planococcus sp. PAMC 21323. RNAcentral describes it as "Bacillaceae-1 RNA". It matches the Rfam family "Bacillaceae-1 RNA". Lineage: Bacteria; Bacillati; Bacillota; Bacilli; Caryophanales; Caryophanaceae. The record is from Rfam by way of RNAcentral.